Cinara cedri is the source of this 812-nucleotide non-coding RNA. The record is from the annotation of a GenBank genome assembly. Lineage: Eukaryota; Metazoa; Arthropoda; Insecta; Hemiptera; Aphididae.
CCUACACAAUAAUUUAUAAUAAAUGAAUGUUCAAAAACAGUGGAUUUAUCUGGUUGCUGUUCUAAACCCUGCCUUGCUUAUGAAAAUGUCAAAUGUCUUUCAAUAACUGAUAAAAUGAAUGUUUCGAAAAUUGUAAGAGCUAUAUAGUUUUUUUUUAUUAUGAACCAGCAAUUUUUUCAGAGGAUUUCAAGUGAAUUUGUCUUGGUUUUGUUCAGACGUGUCCAUGCAGGUCAAUCGCCCCACCAAUAGAUCGUGUGAGGUUUUUAUUUGAUAUAUAAAAUAGGUAUCAAUAAUUUUUAAGUACAAAUGCAACUGGUACUAAAUGCCAUCAAGAUGAUUCCGGAUCUUGGAAAUACUUAGGAUUAAAAUGUUAAUUAAACACUUCUUUUAUAAAUUUCAGUAAAUAUUCUCAAGGUUAAGAUAGAAUUAUGGAAAACUAAGUGGGAACAAUCAAUUUGCAAAGUUAUAAUAAAAUAAUAUAUUUUUAGAAUCAAAAUUGGAAAUGAUUAAUUUAAUUUAAAUAUUAGAUUCUGAGUGUACAUUUUAAUGUACCUAUUGGAUUGAUUUAAUGAUGUUUUUUUAAACUGCAACAAAAAUGUCUAAAAUGUCAGAAAUCUUGCUUCAAUAUUUAAGUGCAGCAUCUUUUAUGGAAGAAAAUAUUGCCGUAUUGACUUAAUGGUACUUUAGGAAGGUCAUUUUUUGAUAUUCCAAGUAGUUUUUCAUCAUAAUAGGAAAACCCAGGAAAAACGUAAGAAAAGCGGUAAAAUUUACGAAUGUAAUGCUUUUAUUACUUUCGAUUUUUUUUUUUUUUU